This is a non-coding RNA of Oryctolagus cuniculus (rabbit), 1300 nucleotides long. The record is from RefSeq and is a predicted model, not a curated record. NCBI's taxonomy places the organism in Eukaryota, Metazoa, Chordata, Mammalia, Lagomorpha, Leporidae.
GCGGAGCAGACAAAGGAGGCGGGGCAGCUGGAGUUGCCAGAAAAGGGUUCUUGGAGGCAGAUGCAGCUGGAGCCGAGCCUCCAAAACCCGGAGGGGAACAAAGCAUGGAGAUGGGGCGCUGGCAAGGGCGCCGCCUAGUGCCGGAUGGGCCAGCAGCAGGACUCUGCCCUUCAGAGGUUCGAGCCGCUGUGGGAUGCAGUGAGUGUGUGGUCUUUGAAAGGACUUAAGAAGACAGACGUUAGAAGCUGACAAAGAGUAGGUGCAGUGAGUAAACGUUCCAAGAGGCUCGACCCUGAGACCGCAGAGUCCGCAUGCCGGCCAGUGGAGGGCAGAGAGGGAGUCUUGCAGCCGCUGCAGAUGCCUCCGAAAAGGGAGGCGCUACUUGGUGAAAAUUCUGCAUUUGUGUUCAAUGACAUCAGAAGGUGUUGCAUUUUAUUCCUUCCUUGGUCAGAUAGAGAUAUGUGAGGAUGGUUCGAAAAAUUCAUGGAAAAUAUAAUUAAAAGAUAAAUUUUUUCUGGUGCAAAAUCUUUUGAAAUCCAUGUAUUGCUUUUCCAUGAUGCAUUUUCCAUGAACUUUUUGAAGAUCUCUUGUAUGCAUGGAUUUUAAUUUUUUUUCAGACCAAAUUAAGCAUUGUCCACAAAUGUUGUGAAAUGUCCUUGUAUUUUACUAUUGCCAUUAAAUAAAUAGCUUCAAACAGUUUGAAAUAUUCAUCAGCUAGGUUUAAUUUGACGAUUUAAAAUCACUGGGCUUUUGGGAUCACUGUUUUUAUCUGUACAAUGGGGCGCUAAUGUGUAUCAGUAGUGGUUUGUGAAUUAUAGGUUGAAACAAUGUAUAUAACAGUGCCUGGCACAGAACAGAGUCUCAGUGAAGGCUGCUGCUUAUGGUGAUGAUGGAGAAGAAACUAGCAGAUUUGUAUCUCUUGCUUAUUCCUGGUGAAAGUAUCAGUUUUCUUAUUUCAGUGCCUGUAUUUGGCAAUUUUCCUGGACCGACUGUUGAUACAGUCAUUAUAGGAAUGCAGCCUUCUGUGUUACGUGAGGCAUUGCCUUUUCAUAACCCUCCCAAAGGCCGUCUCUCCUUAUGCAGUUGGAGGAGUCCAGUGCAAGGAACUUGAAGUGGAUUUGGCUCUGUGCAUUGCCUCAAAGAGGCCAAGCCAGUCCCUGGCUGAUCUGUUGGAAUAAGCGCAAGCCCCGGCCAGGGUCUUGAUCGCAGAUCCAGGGCUGGAACCCGAGGUGUGCCUCGCAGGCGAGCAACUCCUUCCUCACACGUGACGGAGCUGCACUGUGACAUGUGGCUUCCGCAC